ACACAGUCACAGUGUUGAGCCCGACUGCAAGUAAAGCAAAAGCAUCCACAGGAAACUGAAGAAGGAAGUUUUCUCGAACGAAAAUCGAAUUUUCUCCAGCGUUGGAAAUCAGAAGGGAUUUGGAAAUCAGCUGCUGUUUAAGAAAAAACAACUCAAAGAAUAACCGUGACGAAGUGUUUAAUUUGUGCAAUCGUCAAAGCUAGUGAUUUCAUUUGAGAGACAUCAAAAAAAAUUCCCCAUCAUGUGUGGAGGCUUUCAUUGCUCCAAAAAUGCAUUAAUUGCAUUGAACAUCCUUUAUGUCAUGGUUGGCUUCCUGCUCAUCGGCGUCGGAGUCUAUGGCCGGGCUUCGUCCAUCGUGACCAAUCUGCCCAUUAUCGGCGGAAUACUAGCCUGCGGAGUAAUUCUGAUCCUGAUCUCGAUUCUCGGCCUCGUUGGAGCUGUCAAGCAUCACCAGGUGAUGCUGUUCUUUUACAUGAUCAUUCUGUUCAUGCUGUUCCUGAUUCAGUUUUCGAUUGCCUGCUCCUGUUUGGCGGUCAACCAGAGCCAGCAGCGUCAGUUCGCCGAGCAGGGCUGGUCCCUGGCGCCGAUCGAAAUCAAGCAGCAGGUGCAGGAGGAGUUCCUGUGCUGUGGAUUCAACUCAACCGUAACCGACGAUCAUCUCUCCUGUACGGCGGUUGAAGCCAUAUGCUGCCCGGGAGGUCUGAGUGGUUGCUCCUGCCCGCCAUGUAUGCCCAAGCUAGAGAGCACCAUCGACUACGCAUUCCGUUUGUCGGGUGGAAUCGGACUGUUCUUCAGCUUCACAGAGUUUAUCGGUGUCUGGCUGACCGUGCGCUACCGCAACCAGAAAGAUCCCCGGGGUAACCCGAGUGCUUUCCUAUAAGAUUGGGACGAUCCUGUGACGGAGCUCUAAGGAAUUUGUCUGUUUUGGUUCAUUUAGUUUGACUUUUUUUGAGUUUUGUAUUGCUUGAGAGAAGGGGAGGGGAAAGCGCACCACUAGAUCGAUUGUUUUCGAUUCUUCUUCGAAUGGCGACCACGACAACAACGGCUAUUUUGCUGAUCAUUGCCGUAUUCCUGACCCGUCGCUAUCGCAACCAGCAGGAUCCGGACCACCUGCCGGCUAGGGCCAUUUUUCCGCAAAGCAACUACGUGUACUAGUCAACUUGGUAGGUAAAUGGAAAACGGUGAUCCUAUAGAGAAACAAAUAGAACAGAGCUGAUAGCUAGGAAAGGUUGGAAUUGCCUAGGAAGUGAUGAACUCGCAAAAAUGGUGAUGCGACUCGCUAGAAUCCAAAAAAAAUAUAUCGAAUUUUUUCCCGUGACCACACUGUCGAACUGGAAUAAAGAGAAUACUCAUUUAUGUGGCUCCUAGCUAGGAUUAACACACAUUACAGGAAGAGGAAUCGGAUCACAAAAGACAACGGUUGUGCUAAUUUUAAUUAGUUCAUUUUUUCCGCUUUAGUUUUUUUUAACUUUAGACUGACAGGGAAGAGGCGGAUGUUAAACUUCAAAUACGAGUGAAUGAGUGUGUUUUAAGUUACGAUGAACUUUCCAAGUCGAAACAACUUGUCAUCAUUAUGAUCUUAAGUAGGAUUAAAUGAUUCCGUUUUUUUUUCAUUUUUCUUAUAACGGUCUCCAAUUGUUGAA
Armigeres subalbatus is the source of this 1643-nucleotide RNA transcript. It is a transcript of the gene named tetraspanin-13-like, with no coding region annotated. The record is from RefSeq and is a predicted model, not a curated record. NCBI's taxonomy places the organism in Eukaryota, Metazoa, Arthropoda, Insecta, Diptera, Culicidae. The transcript is spliced from 6 exons.